Syngnathus acus (greater pipefish) is the source of this 1338-nucleotide long non-coding RNA. RefSeq lists it as uncharacterized. The transcript is spliced from 2 exons. The record is from RefSeq and is a predicted model, not a curated record. Lineage: Eukaryota; Metazoa; Chordata; Actinopteri; Syngnathiformes; Syngnathidae.
GUUUCAGAGGGAUACUAGCAGACUCUCUGCGGGACACAUACAAUCUGAUCAAGUUCAGAGACGCACUGAGUGCUUCAAGCGGCGCUUUUUAACCGGCGAGCCUUUCACAUGCCCCCCCCCAUCCGCAACCCCCCACACCCACAUACACCCACAAUCUGUCCCAGGAAGGAACUCCUCACAUUCUUUAUUUUUUAAGGGAGCUCGCUCUUUACAAACCUCCCCCCAAAAAGUCUUUCAAAUCAGCACCUUCAUUUCUCGUCGUGCCCUCAUCCCAUCAUCAUCCAUCCUUCCACUCUCCACAACUUUUCCCUACACCCCUCUUACACAGUACAUACUGGAGAGGGAUGAGAAGGAGCCGGAGGGAGAGGAAAUAAAGGUCCGACGAGUCUUGGCAAGGAGACGAUGGAGGCUGAGACAGAUGGCAUGAAGUCUGCGGCACUCUGGCGUGGCUCGCCUGGUGCUAAAAUCCUGCUCUCUCACAUUCCAACAAAUCCUACCAGGAGGCUGGGGAGUCUGUCACACCACUCCGAUGGAUCCACACCGCCCCCCCGGCCCCUUUCCCUUCCAGCACCCCACCUACAUCCCCACGUACUAUUUUACCCCGACUGGUUUGUGCGUGUGUGUGUGUGUAUACAUGAACAGAUAUAGAAAUGGGAUCCAGCAGGGGUUGGAGAUCAGCAGGGACUCAUGUCAACCCCCUAACGGGAAAUGGGGGAGCUUAGUUGAGCGUGAUGACCUUUUAGCAUUUUGGAAAAACUGGGACAAAUCAUGGAUGGGACAGUUCUGUCCAAGGAAAGAAGGCAUAAGAAGCUUUUUUUUUUCUUUUGCUUGGACAAUCUCAAGCCUAACAAACCAGAGCCAUUUUCCAAGACUCCCCGUGGGCCUCGAAAUCUAAAGUGGACAGUAAGUGUAACUGUGAUUACACUUUGUAGCACAAAACCAACAACUGGAUCACGAGCUCGGCAUGACAUCUCCAAAUAUCACACUGUUUUUUUUCUUCUUUUUUUACAGUCUCAAAGAGCUUCCUCCAAUAAGAACAAUCUCAUUUGUUUUAUACUCUCGUCUCUCCCUCUCCCUUUCUUCGUCUCACUCCCCACGCUGUCUUUCCGCUGCCCGCCUUCUGUUUGUUCUAAUGAAUGACUUUGGAAAUGAGGUGCCGCUGUGAGGAGGUCACAUGGGGCCUCAGCAUCACAUUACUGUUAAUGAUAAUAAAAAGAACAAUCUGUGCUAAAGCUUUGGGAUGACUUUUUUUUGGUCGUUCCCUCUUCACUUCACAUAUGGAGGGAAUAUUUUUAUCUGAAUUGAUGUUGACGCAAUUAAAAUGCACCAUAAAUAUGA